This 337-nucleotide ribosomal RNA is filed under the name uncultured bacterium. RNAcentral describes it as "bacterial SSU rRNA". It matches the Rfam family "Bacterial small subunit ribosomal RNA", at positions 28 to 334 of the family's 1533-position model. The record is from RNAcentral.
GACGAACGCUGGCGGCAUGCCUAACACAUGCAAGUCGAACGGAGUUCUUUUAUUAGAUCCCUUCGGGGUGAAGAUACUAGAACUUAGUGGCGGACGGGUGAGUAACGCGUGGGUAACCUGCCCUUUGUGGGGAACAACUUCGAGAAAUUGAAGCUAAUACCGCAUACUCUUCUUUAUCGCAUGGUGAGAGAAGGAAAGAUGGCCUCUGAAUAUGCUAUCGCAAAGGGAUGGACCCGCGUCUGAUUAGCUAGUUGGAAGGGUAACGGCCUACCAAGGCGACGAUCAGUAGCCGGCCUGAGAGGGUGAACGGCCACAUUGGGACUGAGACACGGCCCAA